Molecule: ribosomal RNA, 253 nt
Filed under: uncultured bacterium
Lineage: Bacteria
Description: partial 16S ribosomal RNA
Rfam family: Bacterial small subunit ribosomal RNA
Source: RNAcentral
GACGGAGGGUGCAAGCGUUGCUCGGAAUUAUUGGGCCUAAAGCGUGGGUAGGUGGUGUGAUUAGUCUGAGGUGAAAGCCUUGAGCUCAACUCAAGAAGUGCCUUGGAAACGGUCAGACUGGAGUGCUGGAGGGGGUCGAGGAAUUCCCGGUGGAGCGGUGAAAUGCGUAGAGAUCGGGAGGAACAUCGGAAGCGAAGGCGUCGACCUGGCAAGUAACUGACACUAAACCACGAAAGCGUGGGGAGCAAACAGG